UNUGACUUGAGUGCAGAAGGGGAGAGUGGAAUUCCAUGUGUAGCGGUGAAAUGCGUAGAUAUAUGGAGGAACACCAGUGGCGAAAGCGGCUCUCUGGUCUGUCACUGACGCUGAGGCUCGAAAGCGUGGGUAGCGANCAGGAUUAGAUACCCUGGUAGUCCACGCCGUAAACGAUGAGUGCUAGGUGUUAGGCCCUUUCCGGGGCUUAGUGCCGGAGCUAACGCAAUAAGCACUCCGCCUGGGGAGUACGACCGCAAGGUUGAAACUCAAAGGAAUUGACGGGGGCCCGCACAAGCGGUGGAGCAUGUGGUUUAAUUCGAAGCAACGCGAAGAACCUUACCAGGUCUUGACAUCCCGAUGCUAUUCUUAGAGAUAGGAAGUUACUUCGGUACAUCGGAGACAGGUGGUGCAUGGUUGUCGUCAGCUCGUGUCGUGAGAUGUUGGGUUAAGUCCCGCAACGAGCGCAACCUUUAUUGUUAGUUGCCAUCAUUAAGUUGGGCACUCUAGCGAGACUGCCGGUAAUAAACCGGAGGAAGGUGGGGAUGACGUCAAAUCAUCAUGCCCCUUAUGACCUGGGCUACACACGUGCUACAAUGGUCGGUACAACGAGUUGCGAGCCGGUGACGGCAAGCUAAUCUCUGAAAGCCGAUCUCAGUUCGGAUUGGAGGCUGCAACUCGCCUCCAUGAAGUCGGAAUCGCUAGUAAUCGCGGAUCAGCACGCCGCGGUGAAUACGUUCCCGGGCCUUGUACACACCGCCCGUCACACCACGAGAGUUUGUAACACCCGAAGUCGGUGAGGUAACCUUUAGGGGCCAGNC
RNAcentral lists this ribosomal RNA (818 nucleotides) under uncultured bacterium. Its description in RNAcentral is "bacterial SSU rRNA". It matches the Rfam family "Bacterial small subunit ribosomal RNA", at positions 636 to 1454 of the family's 1533-position model. The record is from RNAcentral.